UACAGAGGUCUCAAGCGUUGUUCGGAUUCAUUGGGCGUAAAGGGCGCGUAGGCGGCCGUGCAAGUGGAAGGUGAAAUCCCUCGGCUCAACCGAGGAACUGCCUUUCAAACUGCAUGGCUUGAGUCCGGGAGAGGUGAGUGGAAUUCCCAGUGUAGCGGUGAAAUGCGUAGAUAUUGGGAGGAACACCAGUGGCGAAGGCGGCUCACUGGACCGGAACUGACGCUGAUGCGCGAAAGCGUGGGGAGCAAACGGG
Molecule: ribosomal RNA, 253 nt
Filed under: uncultured bacterium
Lineage: Bacteria
Description: partial 16S ribosomal RNA
Rfam family: Bacterial small subunit ribosomal RNA
Source: RNAcentral